Molecule: non-coding RNA, 54 nt
Organism: Macaca mulatta (Rhesus monkey)
Lineage: Eukaryota; Metazoa; Chordata; Mammalia; Primates; Cercopithecidae
Source: Rfam
ACCUGGAUAGCUCAGUUGGUAGAGCAUCAGGCUUUUAAUCUGAGGGUCCAAGUA